RNAcentral lists this ribosomal RNA (274 nucleotides) under uncultured bacterium. RNAcentral describes it as "partial 16S ribosomal RNA". It matches the Rfam family "Archaeal small subunit ribosomal RNA", at positions 473 to 747 of the family's 1478-position model. The record is from RNAcentral.
AAACCAGCACCUCAAGUGGUCAGGAGGAUUAUUGGGCCUAAAGCAUCCGUAGCCUGCUUUGUAAGUUUCCCGAUAAAUCCAUUAGCUUAACUGAUGGGCCGCCGGAAAAACUGCAAAGCUAGGGAGUGGGAGAGGUAGACGGUACUCAGUAGGAAGGGGUAAAAUCCUUUGAUCUAGUGAAGACCACCAGUGGCGAAGGCGGUCUACCAGAACACGUUCGACGGUGAGGGAUGAAAGCUGGGGGAGCAAACCGGAUUAGAAACCCCAGUAGUCC